UCCCAAGCUAUGUGUUGAACAUUUAUGUUACAAAAACAAUUUUAAAAGAUUAAUCAUAUAAUAAGGGUAAACGUUGAGGGAAGGGUGAUUUUAAUACAAAAGUUAACAGACCUCUCUGUGAAUGCUUCAAUGGCGGGGAUGGUGGUGUCAAAGUAGAACUUGGUGGCCGGAGUGGAGUUCAGGUAGAGGAGGUUACGUGAAGAAGAGCAAGUAUGUGUUAGUUUAGGCUACAAAUGAGGAGGGACGUAUUAAGAUGACUAUAUUUGUGAGCAACAUAUUUAGGAUAAAUAUAUAUUAAAGGAGUAUGUGUAAUUGUAUUUUAAAAUAUGACGAAUAAGUGAAAAUCAUAGCAACAAAAUGGUUGAUGAGGACUCACUGGUCAAUGAGAAAACGGACCACAACUCGAGUUGUUGCGGUGACGUUGUUGAGGGCUGAGACUUGGAAGGACCUUAUUUGGGCUACAACAUCUACAAAUAAAUAAAAUUAAAAUUUCUCACACGUUUAUAUAAAUGUAGGGAUUGCUUUUUGUAGACUUGAGAAGCAAAAUAUGAACCAUUACCGGGUAGUUCAAAGUUAGUGUUUGCUAAAGCUUGGAGGUGGUGGAACUUUCUGAGCAUGAACUUCUGAAAGUCAAUGAAAGGGGCAGCGGUUAGGAUUGUUGUAGUGGUGGGGAUGAGACAGAUUACAAAAGGAUGAUCCUUAAUCUUGUACAUGUUUGUGCAUCGCCCAACAUUAAACCGAACAACUUUGACAAUCGCACCAGUUCUUUGAGAAACACGGUACUGAUUGGCACAAGCAGCAUGGAUAAACCUAUGAAUGACCGAAUUCUGGGCAACCAUACAUGAAGAAAGUCAUUAGAAUCUCACAUACAGACCUAAGGGGUUUUGUUUUUUUUUAUAUAAUUUUUCACUCUCCAUCAAGAAAUUCCGAGGUAAUCAUUUUUGUGAAAGAUUGGAUGUAGAUACCUUUUCAUCUAGUGAUAGCCAUAAACUCUCCAUUCUUCUUGAUGUUGCUGGAAUCCCCGAAGCUUAGGACACGGCCGACAAUGAACUGAGUUGACCGACCAAGGCCGAGAUCGUCGAAUGUGGCGUGGGGACCGGCUGAUUGAGCAGCAACAACAGCAGAUGAAGACAUUUUGAACGUGUGUGGUAUAAGCUAUGGCGGAUGACGAAAGCAGGGAUGGGAGGUGCAAUGUUCAAUUCCUGGCUCCAUGAUCAACUUUAUACAGAGACGGGUAUGGCAGACGUUUGAAACAAUCGAGUGAUCAAGUAUCAUAAAAAGAGGGGAAGAUGGAAGGGGAGUAACAAGAUUAAACGAAGAGAGGGGAGAUGCAAGAAGGGUUUGACGAUGGAUCUCAAAUGGGAAGAUGAAAGAAGGGAGGUGCAGGAAGAUGAAGGGUUUGACGAUGGAUCUCAAAAUGGGACCCUGUCAGAUACAUAAAUUUUGGCCUGGUUCAGACCGAGAAAAUAAGUGACGUGGCAGAAAGUCAAUCUCUGAUUGGCUUGAAUUUCCAGUUCGACGUGGACCUCCUCAGAGGACUUUAUAUUUGGCUUUUAGUAUAGUUUUAAUGAUACUUGCACAUUUCAACUUAAAAUAAACCGAUUGGUUUUAUCAGACACGAUAGAUCAAACCAUGUCCAGCCGGGUCUUUUAAAUUAUUAUAAGGAUAAACAAACUUAACAUAGUUUCUCAAACAGAUUUAUUUGAACUGACAAUAACAUAUGGCUGGCAUUAACAACCUUUAUAUCUCUGAUUAGUUGUCUUGAGGCUCUGAGUCGUCCGCCGCUUUCACCGACUUGGACACGAAUGUAACCGGUUUGUUUUGGUUCUCAUUUACCCUCAAGUUAAAUAUAUCUGGCCGUGAGUAAUGUCCGACCACAUCGAAGUAUAACUUGGCACGUGCGAUAUCGCCAAGAUCUAGAUGAGAAAAAAGAAAGAUGGUUUAUCGAAAUGGUUAGGUAAAAAAGGUUCAUAAUUUUAAGAUGAAGAUCAAAUACCAAGAUCAGCAGUGACGAGACACUCUGAUUCAAAGUUUGGUCCGGCGAGAAUCUUUCCUAAUGGUGAAAUAAUGACACUACCGCCCUGGGAGACAAUAGCCUCUUGGUGUUGAUCGUCGUACCAGUCGGUGAACAAGUAAUCGGCAUGCUCAGGGAAAUCUUUACGCUUGCAGAACUGGCAAGCCGACAUCACGAAGCAUCCACCCUCCAAUGCAAUGUGCAUCAUCGACGAUUGCCAUUCCGUGGAACCGUCAGCAGUAGGUGCACAAUAUAAUUCAAUUCCUGCAGCAGCCCAAAAAUUAAUUAUUAAGGAGUCUUACAUUAAAAGUCAGAAAGGGCAAAUGAUAUUAGGAGUCUUACCUUUCCCGUACAAGGAAGUUCUUAAGAGGGUGUUGGGAUUGUGAAAUCCCGUGUCCAACUCUAUCUUAUCUUAUUAGUACGAUAUUGUCCACUUUGGGCCUAGGAGGCUAGCCCGCAUGGAUUUACUUUUGGUUUCCUUCCCAAAAGGCCUCGUACUAUUAGAGUUGGACAUAUCUUUAUAUAUUAGACUUUCCUUUGUCUAAUAUCCGAUGUGGGACUUAACUUGUUAUCUCACAUUCUCUCCCUCAAGCUAAGAACCACAUUCAUCUCGUAUGUUUUCUUCGGCGAAUCAUCUUUGGUAACACCUUGUACCAGUAAUCGCAGGGCUUUCUUUUUAGAAUGUUUCUCCCACAACACAUCACAGGUUCUAUGAUCUUUUGACGUUUCUGCAACAUACCUUCUCUUUCUUUUUCUACCCGUUCUUACUUAAAGGGUAUUUUAGUCUUCUUGCAGAUUUCUCGUCAACCUGGCUCUGAUACCAAUUGUUGGGAUUGUGAAAUCCCGUGUCCAACUCUAUCUUAUCUUAUUAGUACGAUAUUGUCCACUUUGGGCCUAGGAGGCUAGCCCGCAUGGAUUUACUUUUGGUUUCCUUCCCAAAAGGCCUCGUACUAUUAGAGUUGGACAUAUCUUUAUAUAUUAGACUUUCCUUUGUCUAAUAUCCGAUGUGGGACUUAACUUGUUAUCUCACAGAGGGGCAUCCUAUUUUCCCAGCAAAUAGCAGCACCGAGUUUGCCAAGGGGAGUGUCGUAGACAGGGAUGGUUGAUCCAUCUCCGUAACCCCAUAUGCAACGUUCCAGAGAUGUGGGCAUGACUUUACGGUGUUUGCCCAAAAAGCGACCUUCGGAACUGAAGAAAAGGGCUGUGCAAUAGAGUGUAUACCCAUCCUUCUCCAUCGCUCCCAUCAUCAAGUACACUUUGUUUUUCCUAGCCAUCUCCGCCAGCUGGUCUACUUCAGGGCCUUUAGAUUCAUGUCCAAAAAGGAGUUAUUUACGUCCCAAUCAUGCUCUCAGUUUGAACUAUAACAAAUUUAACCGUUACCACUUUUGCAAAUGAAAGUUACAUUUGGUUUACUCAUUUCUCACACCAUUAAUUUAAUCAGAUAUUUGUCCCAAAAUAAAUCAAUCUAAAUUUUUCAUAUACAAUAUUUAUUUACGGAAUUUUGAAUACUAAUAUUAAAAUCGAUAUUCGGAAAUUUAAUUUUGGGAACCUAUCCCUAAGCGCAGAAUACAAGAAACAUGAAGUAUACUUACGAAAUAAACAUUAAAAUAAUGAUAUCAUCCAAAGAUUGGAACUUUACCAGGAACUACAAUGGCAGAAGCAUGAUAUCUGCGGAAACAGUCACGACCAGCUUCAUUAUGAACGCCAACCCCUAUGCCAAACCUAUAUCCACGAGGAUAGCCACCGAUAUAGGCCUCGGGGAACACCACCAGCUGCGCUCCGUCACUCG
RNAcentral lists this long non-coding RNA (3803 nucleotides) under Brassica rapa (field mustard). Its description in RNAcentral is "long non-coding RNA (BRAP_LNC004316)". The record is from RNAcentral. Lineage: Eukaryota; Viridiplantae; Streptophyta; Magnoliopsida; Brassicales; Brassicaceae.